Amblyraja radiata (thorny skate) is the source of this 114-nucleotide long non-coding RNA. RefSeq lists it as uncharacterized. The transcript has 3 exons. NCBI's taxonomy places the organism in Eukaryota, Metazoa, Chordata, Chondrichthyes, Rajiformes, Rajidae. The record is from RefSeq and is a predicted model, not a curated record.
CGCUGAGUUACUCCAGCACUCUUUUGUACCAUCCAUAAGAGUCAUAACAUUGGAGCUAAAACCAUCCACAAGGUCAUCGACAGAGGCCGAGGGCAGAGUUGCUGGUGGUCUAUA